Molecule: transfer RNA, 77 nt
Filed under: Devosia sp.
Lineage: Bacteria; Pseudomonadati; Pseudomonadota; Alphaproteobacteria; Hyphomicrobiales; Devosiaceae
Also listed under: 1 other name
Description: tRNA-Arg
Rfam family: tRNA
About the family: Transfer RNA (tRNA) molecules are approximately 80 nucleotides in length.
Source: RNAcentral
GGUCUCGUAGCUCAGUUGGAUAGAGCACAGGAUUCCUAAUCCUGGGGUCAGCAGUUCGAAUCUGCUCGAGAUCACCA